RNAcentral lists this ribosomal RNA (1224 nucleotides) under Triticum aestivum (bread wheat). Its description in RNAcentral is "partial small subunit ribosomal RNA". Lineage: Eukaryota; Viridiplantae; Streptophyta; Magnoliopsida; Poales; Poaceae. The record is from RNAcentral.
AUGGAGGAUGACUAUGCAGCAGCGUAUCUUCCUAUGGACAUUAUGUACAAGAUCCCUGGGCACAUCUCUGACCCAACCUCCCUUGCCCGCGUCGCUUCGUCCUGCAAGUUCUGGCGCGAUCUCAUCAAGGACCCGACCUUCCUUGGUCGCCUUAGCAGGCGGCACCGCGACCAUGGCUUCACCCCAUCUCUCCUUCUCGGCUUCUUCUACCAGGACAAUGAGAGGACUUCCCUAGACCUCUUGAAGUAUCAAAUUGACAAAACACGCUGUUUGGCACCAAGCUUCGUGCGGAUAUCUGAAUUGUCACAAUUUGUUGGCAGCAAAUCUGCUUGCAAUGCUAUCAAGCCACUAUCCCUUGAGACCUUCAUCCCAGGUCUUGGUGCAAGCCUCAACUUCUAUAAGCCCGUUGCAUCACAAGACAACUUCCUGGUCCUCCGUCGCCUGUCGAAAGACGCCAAUGGUCACAUGAAUGAUGAGUUAUGUGUCUGCAAUCCUCUCACUGGUGAAACCUUUGAGAUUCCUAGCCACUUGUAUGUACCUCCGGACCAUUAUGUCUUGUUUGUCACCAAAGAGGUCGACAUUGAUGGACGCAUAUCCCACUCCUUCCAACUGUCUGGCAUUUUUUGGAUGAAAAAGGCAAAGCGUUUCAUCAGUGUGUGCUGCAGCUCGAAGACUGGAAGAUGGAUGAUCUCUUAUGAAUUUCCUGAGCUAAUGCCUGGCCAUUACUUGGUGUCAUCCUCAGCCGCUGCUUCUGGCAGUGUCAUCCAUUGGCUCUGUGGUACUUUGGAACAAAUGUCGCUCACCCACGUUGCCACACUGCAUAUUGAAAAUAUGGGGCUGUCAUACCUGGAGCUCCCACCUGAAGCAAAUCACGUCAAGAUACCAGUGCUGGCGAAUUCAGCUGAUGGGGGGAUUUUAUUGCUCUUCGUGCAAGGCCUUCAGAUGUCACUCUGGAAACACAUCAGUAUGCUUGGCAGUGGCAGCAGCAGCUGGGUGCUUUCUGAAAGGAUUGACUUGAGAAGUUCCUUGCCUAAGCAGGUGGCAGCCUUGGGGAUCAGGGCAAAGGUCAGGUUGGAGAUGUUCCGAGGCAAGAGUGGGGCGGUGGUGCUCAGGGUUGUUGGAGAAGGCCUCUUUAUGUUCAGCCUCGACGAUAGGUCGAUGAGGAAGAUUGACAGUGCAAGUGUGACCAAGAAAUACUUCCUCUGCCCAUAUGAAAUUGAUUAG